GCCGCGGUAAUACGGAGGGUGCAAGCGUUAUCCGGAAUCACUGGGUUUAAAGGGUGCGUAGGCGGCUUUGAUAAGUCAGAGGUGAAAGCCUGGAGCUUAACUUCAGAACUGCCUUUGAUACUGUCGAGCUUGAAAGAGAUUGAGGUCAGCGGAACGUGACAUGUAGCGGUGAAAUGCAUAGAUAUGUCACAGAACACCAAUUGCGAAGGCAGCUGACUGGGUCUGCUUUGACGCUGAGGCACGAAAGCGUGGGGAGCGAACAGGAUUAGAUACCCUGGUAGUCCACGCCCUAAACGAUGCUUACUCGAUAUUCGCCCUUUGGGGUGAGUGUCCAAGUGAAAACGAUAAGUAAGCC
This 355-nucleotide ribosomal RNA is filed under the name uncultured bacterium. Its description in RNAcentral is "bacterial SSU rRNA". It matches the Rfam family "Bacterial small subunit ribosomal RNA", at positions 514 to 870 of the family's 1533-position model. The record is from RNAcentral.